GAUGAACGCUGGCGGCGUGCCUAAUACAUGCCAGUCGAGCGAAUGGAUUGAGGGCUUGCUCUUAUGAAGUUAGCGGCGGACGGGUGAGUAACACGUGGGUAACCUGCCCAUAAGACUGGGAUAACUCCGGGAAACAGGGGCUAAUACCGGAUAACAUUUUGAACCGCAUGGUUCGAAAUUGAAAGGCGGCUUCGGCUGUCACUUAUGGAUGGACCCGCGUCGCAUUAGCUAGUUGGUGAGGUAACGGCUCACCAAGGCAACGAUGCGUAGCCGACCUGAGAGGGUGAUCGGCCACACUGGGACUGAGACACGGCCCAGACUCCUACGGGAGGCAGCAGUAGGGAAUCUUCCGCAAUUGACGAAAGUCUGGCGAAGCAACGCCGCGUGAGUGAUGAAGGAUUUCGGGUCGUAGAACUCUGGUGUUAGGGAAGAACAAGUGCGAGUUAAAUAAGCUGGCACCUUGACGGUACCUAACCAGAAAGCCACGGCUAACUACGUGCCAGCAGCCGCCGUAA
RNAcentral lists this ribosomal RNA (515 nucleotides) under uncultured bacterium. Its description in RNAcentral is "partial 16S ribosomal RNA". It matches the Rfam family "Bacterial small subunit ribosomal RNA", at positions 28 to 523 of the family's 1533-position model. The record is from RNAcentral.